This 1547-nucleotide long non-coding RNA is filed under the name Venturia canescens. Its description in RNAcentral is "uncharacterized LOC122406001". Lineage: Eukaryota; Metazoa; Arthropoda; Insecta; Hymenoptera; Ichneumonidae. The record is from RNAcentral.
CAGGUUCACGCGUCUCAUCGCGUACGAUAUCGUUGCGGUAACGUGCCAUGCCACCGACGAGGAUUCCGAGGCUCUCGAAACGUCGCAAACCCGGCGAGUAUCCGCGUGCCACAUUUUUCUUUCAUAUCUCCACAAAUCACAUACAAAUUCGAGCCCUCGAAUGAAUAAUGAAUUGGAAUUCACCGCGGGAGGGAUGAUACGGAACGUAUGGACUGCGGUGCUUUUAUCACUGGAUUUGAUUGAAAAAAUAGCGAAAUCGUGGCUUUUCGAUGUUGACAAAUCACACAAGAUUUGUGGCGUGUGACGCCGAGAGGAGCGGAGAAGGAGGGGCGAGGGAAAACAGGAAUCACUGCAGCAAACACGAGGCGGAAGCUCAAUCAAAUUGGCAAGGCAAUAUAGCUGCUCUUUUUUUUCAUUUACGACACCAAUAUCCCACGAAAAGGUGCGAGCCGUCAGUCGAAUUUGACCAACUUUAAUGCACGAUAUUUGACGACUGGCCGUGCGAAGGCAAAUUAAUUUUUGCGCGAGAACAGCCAAUCGCCUUUAGCCAACGACUCCGCAACAGCGCUUUGAUCCAACCCGUUUUUAUUCUUCAUUUUGAGAAAUUCGGUACAACGAUGCAGUAUAAUUGAAACGCGGAGAAAAUGCAACGCCGACGUAAAUGAUGGCAACUGCGCAUUGACGGAUUCCUAUCGUGAGAUGCACCCAUGGAACCAAAAGCGCAUAUUCUAUGCACGUACCUUUCCGUAUGUGGGGAAAUAAUUAUUCUUUUUAAAAUGCUAUGAAUAUGACACAGCGAGAGGGAACACUUCACAUUUUACUUGAACCGUUAUUCAAACGUGCGUGUGUUAUGUUUCAAUUUCACUUCAAAUUAAAACGAAACGGUUCGCCUUGUUGAGUAUCGCCGCAUUUUUUCUCAUCGGAAUAUUAGUUGAUUGAAACAACGCGAAUUGGAGGGUUGCGAGAGGCAGAUUGAAACUCACGAAUCGCUGCCUCCGCUCUCGCUUCAAUAUCUUCCAUCUUCACUCGAAUCCUUCAUCAAGAAGAUCCAAUAUCAAUUUAAAUUUCAACGUGCACCAGAAAUGUGUAAUCAAAUUCGAUCGAAAAUCAUUUUGAUUUUAUUUUCAUAGCUUCUUGGUUAAAUAUGUUUCCAAAACGCUUUGACCACAAACAAUUUUGUGAAAAAAAUCGAGGAUCGAAAGAGAAACGACCUUUUUACGGAAAAAUUCAGUGUCUCGGUAUCUCAGUGGGUAAGUAAAGCCACGAAAUGUCGGAAAAUAUGGCAUGUCCGCGAAACAUUGGGAGGCGUGCUUCUAAACACUUCGAUGUGUUCGGUUGAAGCGUGCACUAUGUAAAGUCAAUUGUCCAUGUUCGAGGCGUUUCCCGAAAAAUGAUGUUUUUCGAAUCUCGGUUUUCAGGUUCUACAAAAACUACGAGAUGGAUCGCCUCCUUAAUUUCGAAGUUGAUUUCAUUUAUCGGAGGCUGAACCUCUGUUUUGUGUAGCACUUUGAGGAACGAAUAAAAUGUGUGAAUAACGCUACGGACGA